Molecule: ribosomal RNA, 254 nt
Filed under: uncultured bacterium
Lineage: Bacteria
Description: partial 16S ribosomal RNA
Rfam family: Bacterial small subunit ribosomal RNA
Source: RNAcentral
UACGUAGGGGGCUAGCGUUGUUCGGAAUUACUGGGCGUAAAGCGUGCGCAGGCGGCUUCUCAAGUCAGGGGUGAAAGCCCAGAGCUCAACUCUGGAACUGCCUUUGAGACUGAGAGGCUUGAGUACGGGAGAGGUGAGGUGGAAUUCCCAGUGUAGAGGUGAAAUUCGUAGAUAUUGGGAAGAACACCGGUGGCGAAGGCGGCUCACUGGCCCGUAACUGACGCUCAUGCACGACAGCGUGGGGAUCAAACAGG